This 1372-nucleotide ribosomal RNA is filed under the name uncultured bacterium. Its description in RNAcentral is "bacterial SSU rRNA". It matches the Rfam family "Bacterial small subunit ribosomal RNA", at positions 28 to 1381 of the family's 1533-position model. The record is from RNAcentral.
GAUGAACGCUGGCGGCGUGCCUAAUACAUGCAAGUCGAGCGAACGGACGAGAAGCUUGCUUCUCUGAUGUUAGCGGCGGACGGGUGAGUAACACGUGGAUAACCUACCUAUAAGACUGGGAUAACUUCGGGAAACCGGAGCUAAUACCGGAUAAUAUUUUGAACCGCAUGGCUCAAAAGUGAAAGACGGUCUUGCUGUCACUUAUAGAUGGAUCCGCGCUGCAUUAGCUAGUUGGUAAGGUAACGGCUUACCAAGGCAACGAUGCAUAGCCGACCUGAGAGGGUGAUCGGCCACACUGGAACUGAGACACGGUCCAGACUCCUACGGGAGGCAGCAGUAGGGAAUCUUCCGCAAUGGGCGAAAGCCUGACGGAGCAACGCCGCGUGAGUGAUGAAGGUCUUCGGAUCGUAAAACUCUGUUAUUAGGGAAGAACAUAUGUGUAAGUAACUGUGCACAUCUUGACGGUACCUAAUCAGAAAGCCACGGCUAACUACGUGCCAGCAGCCGCGGUAAUACGUAGGUGGCAAGCGUUAUCCGGAAUUAUUGGGCGUAAAGCGCGCGUAGGCGGUUUUUUAAGUCUGAUGUGAAAGCCCACGGCUCAACCGUGGAGGGUCAUUGGAAACUGGAAAACUUGAGUGCAGAAGAGGAAAGUGGAAUUCCAUGUGUAGCGGUGAAAUGCGCAGAGAUAUGGAGGAACACCAGUGGCGAAGGCGACUUUCUGGUCUGUAACUGACGCUGAUGUGCGAAAGCGUGGGGAUCAAACAGGAUUAGAUACCCUGGUAGUCCACGCCGUAAACGAUGAGUGCUAAGUGUUAGGGGGUUUCCGCCCCUUAGUGCUGCAGCUAACGCAUUAAGCACUCCGCCUGGGGAGUACGACCGCAAGGUUGAAACUCAAAGGAAUUGACGGGGACCCGCACAAGCGGUGGAGCAUGUGGUUUAAUUCGAAGCAACGCGAAGAACCUUACCAAAUCUUGACAUCCUUUGACAACUCUAGAGAUAGAGCCUUCCCCUUCGGGGGACAAAGUGACAGGCGGUGCAUGGUUGUCGUCAGCUCGUGUCGUGAGAUGUUGGGUUAAGUCCCGCAACGAGCGCAACCCUUAAGCUUAGUUGCCAUCAUUAAGUUGGGCACUCUAAGUUGACUGCCGGUGACAAACCGGAGGAAGGUGGGGAUGACGUCAAAUCAUCAUGCCCCUUAUGAUUUGGGCUACACACGUGCUACAAUGGACAAUACAAAGGGCAGCGAAACCGCGAGGUCAAGCAAAUCCCAUAAAGUUGUUCUCAGUUCGGAUUGUAGUCUGCAACUCGACUACAUGAAGCUGGAAUCGCUAGUAAUCGUAGAUCAGCAUGCUACGGUGAAUACGUUCCCGGGUCU